This 1197-nucleotide ribosomal RNA is filed under the name Tetracladium globosum. RNAcentral's name for it is "eukaryotic LSU rRNA". It matches the Rfam family "Eukaryotic large subunit ribosomal RNA", at positions 69 to 1379 of the family's 3401-position model. The record is from RNAcentral. Lineage: Eukaryota; Fungi; Ascomycota; Leotiomycetes; Helotiales.
CAGGGAUGCCUCAGUAACGGCGAGUGAAGCGGCAAAAGCUCAAAUUUGAAAUCUGGCUCUUUUAGGGUCCGAGUUGUAAUUUGUAGAAGAUGUUUCGGGUGUGGCUCCGGUUUAAGUUCUUUGGAAUAUUACAUCAUAGAGGGUGAGAAUCCCGUAUGUGACCGGCAGCCUUCGCCUAUGUGAAACUCUUUCGACGAGUCGAGUUGUUUGGGAAUGCAGCUCAAAAUGGGAGGUAUAUUUCUUCUAAAGCUAAAUAUUGGCCAGAGACCGAUAGCGCACAAGUAGAGUGAUCGAAAGAUGAAAAGCACUUUGGAAAGAGAGUUAAACAGUACGUGAAAUUGUUGAAAGGGAAGCGCUUGCAACCAGACUUGCACGCAGUUGAUCAUCCGGUGUUCUCACCGGGGCACUCUGCUGCGUUCAGGCCAGCAUCGGUUUUGGUGGUUGGAUAAAGGCCUUGGGAAUGUGGCUUCCUUCGGGGAGUGUUAUAGCCCUCGGUGCAAUGCAGCCUACCGGGACCGAGGACCGCGCUUCGGCUAGGAUGCUGGCGUAAUGGUUGUAAGCGACCCGUCUUGAAACACGGACCAAGGAGUCUAACAUCUAUGCGAGUGUUUGGGUGUUAAACCCAUACGCGUAAUGAAAGUGAACGGAGGUGAGAACCCUUAAGGGUGCAUCAUCGACCGGUCCUGAUGUCUUCGGAUGGAUCUGAGUAAGAGCAUAGCUGUUGGGACCCGAAAGAUGGUGAACUAUGCGUGAAUAGGGUGAAGCCAGAGGAAACUCUGGUGGAGGCUCGCAGCGGUUCUGACGUGCAAAUCGAUCGUCAAAUUUGCGCAUAGGGGCGAAAGACUUAUCGAACCAUUGAACACCUACUAGGUGGUUAAGAGGCCUUAGUACGGCCUAGUCCUCAGCGAGGGCGACAUUGUCAAAUUGUUCGGGGACCUCCUGAUAACUCUCAGACUACCGCAGCCCGCCCGAAAGGGGGGUGCGCACCGGGCUAACGACCCUGGGGAUGGUAACAACGUCUGGGUAGGGAAGAUCCGCAGCCAAGUCCUACCGCCCCCCCGGGGCCACGGAUGCAGUUCACAGACUUGAAGGCAGUGGGCUCCGCCGGGAGCUUAAGAUAAAGUCGAACCCCCCGGAGACGGGGUGGAGGGAGGAGAGUGCGACGCACUCAGAGUCCUUCAGGGCUCACGCCCGAGC